This 62-nucleotide transfer RNA is filed under the name Geocoris pallidipennis. RNAcentral's name for it is "tRNA-Trp". The record is from RNAcentral. Lineage: Eukaryota; Metazoa; Arthropoda; Insecta; Hemiptera; Geocoridae. RNAcentral also lists the same sequence under 1 other name.
AAAGCUUUAAGUUAAAUAAACUAUUAACCUUCAAAGUUAAAAAUAUAAUUUUUAUAAGCUUU